CUACGGGCGGCAGCAGUGGGGAAUAUUGCACAAUGGAGGAAACUCUGAUGCAGCAACGCCGCGUGGAGGAUGACGCAUUUCGGUGUGUAAACUCCUUUUAUAUGUCAAGAAAAUGACGGUAGCAUAUGAAUAAGCACCGGCUAACUCCGUGCCAGCAGCCGCGGUAAUACGGAGGGUGCAAGCGUUACUCGGAAUCACUGGGCGUAAAGGACGGGUAGGCGGGAUAUCAAGUCAGGUGUGAAAUCCUACAGCUUAACUGUAGAGCUGCACUUGAAACUGGUAACCUAGAGUAUGGGAGGGGGAGAUGGAAUUAGUGGUGUAGGGGUAAAAUCCGUAGAUAUCACUAGGAAUACCUAAAGCGAAGGCGAUCUCCUGGAACAUUACUGACGCUAAGGCGUGAAAGCGUGGGGAGCAAACAGGAUUAGAUACCCGCGUAGUC
Molecule: ribosomal RNA, 439 nt
Filed under: uncultured bacterium
Lineage: Bacteria
Description: partial 16S ribosomal RNA
Rfam family: Bacterial small subunit ribosomal RNA
Source: RNAcentral